CCGCGAAACCGCCCCCGGGCGGUCGCCCUGGCGUGGUGGCCAGGGCCUGACGAGCAGCCCCAC
This 63-nucleotide non-coding RNA is filed under the name Chromatiaceae bacterium. Lineage: Bacteria; Pseudomonadati; Pseudomonadota; Gammaproteobacteria; Chromatiales; Chromatiaceae. The record is from RNAcentral.